UACGGGGGGGGCAAGCGUUGUUCGGAAUUACUGGGCGUAAAGGGCUCGUAGGCGGCCAACUAAGUCAGACGUGAAAUCCCUCGGCUUAACCGGGGAACUGCGUCUGAUACUGGAUGGCUUGAGAUUGGGAGAGGGAUGCGGAAUUCCAGGUGUAGCGGUGAAAUGCGUAGAUAUCUGGAGGAACACCGGUGGCGAAGGCGGCAUCCUGGACCGAUACUGACGCUGAGGAGCGAAAGCCAGGGGAGCAAACGGG
RNAcentral lists this ribosomal RNA (253 nucleotides) under uncultured bacterium. RNAcentral's name for it is "partial 16S ribosomal RNA". It matches the Rfam family "Bacterial small subunit ribosomal RNA", at positions 524 to 776 of the family's 1533-position model. The record is from RNAcentral.